RNAcentral lists this unclassified non-coding RNA (939 nucleotides) under Hevea brasiliensis (rubber tree). Lineage: Eukaryota; Viridiplantae; Streptophyta; Magnoliopsida; Malpighiales; Euphorbiaceae. The record is from RNAcentral.
GUUUUUAUAUUUACUUUUUUGUGGGUCUUGCCGUUACUGUUCUAUGCAUCUGUAUUAUCGUUAUUUUGAAACUUUGAUUUCAACUGGUCGUUUUGUUCUACGUAGUGAGACUUACUUGAAUUUUUAUGGGGAUGUUUGGUUACUGAGACAACAGAGGAAAUGGAAAGAAAAGAGAGUAAAACUUGGUGCCGCGUUAGUUUUAAGCAGUUGGUUCUAAAUAACAUAUGGGUUAAAAAAGAGAAAAGAAAGAAAAACUCAGCUUUCUUAUCAGGUUAAAUACUUAAACCUUACUCCCUUUUACUCCAAUUUGAUUCUAAAUCCAGACCCAGAAAUUUCUUAGCAUUUACCCCUCCAUUGAGAGUAGAACAAUUCUAAAAUCUGAAAAUUUCAAGGUUUUCUUUCUGUCUGGUUCCCUUUGUAUGACAUAAGCGUGGACCCUGGAAAUGCCCUUCUAAUUUGAUUUAUUUUCAUAUGAGCUGAUAAACUAUUUUUAGCGAGUUGGUUUCUGUAGCAUCGAUAUGCGUUCCUGUAAUUCAUUAUCAUCUUCCUUGGAUAGUUGAACAGCUGAUUGUAUUUUAAAGUUUUCUUGAAGCUUACAUUGAAUAGGAACUUCAAAUAUGAUUUGUAAAGUGUCACCGCAAAUUUUUUUGGAGGUCUACUUAAAAAUCUGGAAUUUGCUGCCCAUGAGUGUUUAGUUUUAGAUCGCCCUUUUGUCCCUGGAAUCACUGGAACCAUAUGAAUUUCAUAAUGCUUGUUUGUGUCUGUAUUGAGCAGAAAAAUGCUCGCCAUUAGAUUUAUCAUACUUUUUACUUUUUGCUUUGAUCUCUUCCAUGGGAUAUGUUUGUAUAGUAGGACUAAUGAAGUUUACAUCUUUUCACUUUUAUGUAUAUUGAUUUUCUCAACAUUUUCCGAGUUGCAUGUAUUCCUGCUCAACCCCAA